UACGAAGGGGGCUAGCGUUGUUCGGAAUUACUGGGCGUAAAGCGCACGUAGGCGGAUUGUUAAGUCAGGGGUGAAAUCCCGGGGCUCAACCCCGGAACUGCCUUUGAUACUGGGUAUCUAGAGUCCAGAAGAGGUGAGUGGAAUUCCGAGUGUAGAGGUGAAAUUCGUAGAUAUUCGGAGGAACACCAGUGGCGAAGGCGGCUCACUGGUCUGGUACUGACGCUGAGGUGCGAAAGCGUGGGGAGCAAACAGG
This 253-nucleotide ribosomal RNA is filed under the name uncultured bacterium. RNAcentral describes it as "partial 16S ribosomal RNA". It matches the Rfam family "Bacterial small subunit ribosomal RNA", at positions 524 to 776 of the family's 1533-position model. The record is from RNAcentral.